ACAUGGGUGACCUACCCCGCAGUGAGGAAUACCGGCGAGAAAUCGCCGACAAGACCGCAUAGCUCGGGCAACCGAGCAAAGUCGCAAGACGCUGAGGGAUGGGCCUGUGGCCGAUUAGCUGGUUGGUGAGGUAAUGGCUCACCAAGGCGACGAUCGGUAGCUGGUCUGAGAGGAUGAUCAGCCACACUGGGAUUGAGAACGGCCCAG
Molecule: ribosomal RNA, 207 nt
Filed under: uncultured bacterium
Lineage: Bacteria
Description: partial 16S ribosomal RNA
Rfam family: Bacterial small subunit ribosomal RNA
Source: RNAcentral